GUAUGAAGUCUAAAUACCUUAAAGGCACCAGUUCCCAGAUCUUGGAAGCUAAGUAGGGUAUGCCCUGGUUAGUACUUGAUUGGGAUACUUCCAAAGUAUACCAGGUUCUGUAGGCU
RNAcentral lists this ribosomal RNA (116 nucleotides) under Anolis carolinensis (green anole). The record is from RNAcentral. Lineage: Eukaryota; Metazoa; Chordata; Lepidosauria; Squamata; Anolidae.